Molecule: ribosomal RNA, 800 nt
Filed under: uncultured bacterium
Lineage: Bacteria
Description: bacterial SSU rRNA
Rfam family: Archaeal small subunit ribosomal RNA
Source: RNAcentral
CAUAACCCCGGGAAACUGGGGAUAAUUCCGGAUAACGCACAUAUGCUGGAAUGCUUUAUGCGUAAAAUGGAUUCGUCUGCCCAAGGAUGGGUCUGCGGCCUAUCAGGUAGUAGUGGGUGUAAUGUACCUACUAGCCAACAACGGGUACGGGUUGUGAGAGCAAGAGCCCGGAGAUGGAUUCUGAGACAUGAAUCCAGGCCCUACGGGGCGCAGCAGGCGCGAAAACUUUACAAUGCGGGAAACCGUGAUAAGGGGACACCGAGUGCCAGCGUCAUACGCUGGCUGUCCAGGUGUGUAAAAUACACCUGUUAGCAAGGGCCGGGCAAGACCGGUGCCAGCCGCCGCGGUAACACCGGCGGCCCGAGUGGUGAUCGUGAUUAUUGGGUCUAAAGGGUCCGUAGCCGGUUUGGUCAGUCCUCCGGGAAAUCUGAUAGCUCAACUAUUAGGCUUUCGUGGGAUACUGCCAGACUUGGAACCGGGAGAGGUAAGAGGUACUACAGGGGUAGGAGUGAAAUCUUGUAAUCCCUGUGGGACCACCUGUGGCGAAGGCGUCUUACCAGAACGGGUUCGACGGUGAGGGACGAAAGCUGGGGGCACGAACCGGAUUAGAUACCCGGGUAGUCCCAGCCGUAAACGAUGCUCGCUAGGUGUCAGGCAUGGCGCGACCGUGUCUGGUGCCGCAGGGAAGCCGUGAAGCGAGCCACCUGGGAAGUACGGCCGCAAGGCUGAAACUUAAAGGAAUUGGCGGGGGAGCACAUGCUACGGCUCAGUAACACGUAUAGGAAUUGGCGGGGGAGCAC